Molecule: ribosomal RNA, 313 nt
Filed under: uncultured archaeon
Lineage: Archaea
Description: bacterial SSU rRNA
Rfam family: Archaeal small subunit ribosomal RNA
Source: RNAcentral
CUGUUAAGUCAGGUAACGAGCGAGAUCCCUGCCGCUAGUUGCUAUCAUUAUUCUCAGGAAUAGUGGAGCGAAUUAGCGGGACUGCCGUUGUUAAAACGGAGGAAGGAAGGGGCUACGGCAGGUCAGUAUGCCCCGAAACUCUGGGGCCACACGCGGGCUGCAAUGGUAGUGACAAUGAGUUCCAAACUCGAAAGAGAGUGGCAAUCUCUAAACGCUACCACAGUUAUGACUGAGGGCUGUAACUCGCCCUCACGAAUAUGGAAUCCCUAGUAACCGCGUGUCAUUACCGCGCGGUGAAUACGUCCCUGCUCCU